Molecule: transfer RNA, 66 nt
Filed under: Graphocaecilius interpretatus
Lineage: Eukaryota; Metazoa; Arthropoda; Insecta; Psocodea; Sphaeropsocidae
Description: tRNA-Asn
Source: RNAcentral
UUAGUUAAAGCCAAAUAGAGGCAUAUUAUUGUUAAUAAUAUCAUUGAGCUUUAAUCUCUAAUUAAA